This 295-nucleotide long non-coding RNA is filed under the name Malus domestica (apple). Its description in RNAcentral is "long non-coding RNA (MDOM_LNC001065)". The record is from RNAcentral. Lineage: Eukaryota; Viridiplantae; Streptophyta; Magnoliopsida; Rosales; Rosaceae.
AUGGUGGUGGAUGGAUAUAGGUGGGUUAUGGUGAAGGGUGGAUGGGUGGAUUGUGUUCUCUUUGGUUUUCUUCUUUGCAUGUGUGUGUUGUCAUCUUUGUUUCUCCUUUGCACAUGACAUGUGCUGUCCAUGUUUAGAUCCCCUUUGCAUUUGCACACACUUGCUUCAUCAUUUCAACCACAAAACACACCAUUUCCUUCCCCUUUGCCGUGUAUGUCCCUUUCACUUUGCAUGUGGGCUUCUUUGCAUGUGUUUUCUCCCUCUCUUGCCUUGAGUUUGCAUGUGGGCUUCUUUG